AGAACGAACGCUGGCGGCGGGCCUCAUACAUGCAAGUCGAGCGCGAAAGUCCGCAAGGAUGAGUAAAGCGGCGCACGGGUGAGUAACACGUGGAUAAUCUACCCUUUGGAUUGGAAUAACCUGUCGAAAGACGGGCUAAUGCCGAGUAAGCUCUCGGGAGCGUGAAGCUCUUGCGAGGAAAGAUGGCGCAAGCUAUCGCCGAUGGAUGAGUCUGCGUCCCAUUAGUUAGUUGGUGAGGUAACAGCUUACCAAGACGAUGAUGGGUACCUGGUCUGAGAGGAUGAUCAGGCACACUGGAACUGAAACACGGUCCAGACUCCUACGGGAGCAGCAGUAGGAAUAUGCGCAAUGGAACGAAAGUCUGACGCAGCCACGCCGCGUGAGUGAGGAGGCCGUUGGUGUAAAGCUCUGUACAGUACCGGAAAACGCGUAUACGUAGGGAAAGUUCGAGGUAGCGU
RNAcentral lists this ribosomal RNA (458 nucleotides) under uncultured soil bacterium. Its description in RNAcentral is "bacterial SSU rRNA". It matches the Rfam family "Bacterial small subunit ribosomal RNA", at positions 26 to 484 of the family's 1533-position model. The record is from RNAcentral.